Molecule: ribosomal RNA, 253 nt
Filed under: uncultured bacterium
Lineage: Bacteria
Description: partial 16S ribosomal RNA
Rfam family: Bacterial small subunit ribosomal RNA
Source: RNAcentral
UACGGGGGGGGCAAGCGUUGUUCGGAAUUACUGGGCGUAAAGAGCGUGUAGGCGGUGCUCUAAGUUCGGUGUGAAAUCUCCUGGCUCAACUGGGAGGGUGCGCCGGAAACUGGAGUGCUUGAGCGUGGGAGAGGAAAGCGGAAUUCCUGGUGUAGCGGUGAAAUGCGUAGAUAUCAGGAGGAACACCUGUGGUGUAGACGGCUUUCUGGACCAUAGCUGACGCUGAGACACGAAAGCGUGGGUAGCAAACAGG